This is a long non-coding RNA of Apis laboriosa (Himalayan honeybee), 542 nucleotides long. RefSeq lists it as uncharacterized. NCBI's taxonomy places the organism in Eukaryota, Metazoa, Arthropoda, Insecta, Hymenoptera, Apidae. The transcript is spliced from 4 exons. The record is from RefSeq and is a predicted model, not a curated record.
GAAAAUCGUGGUGAUAGGUCACGUUUCACCGGCUGAGAAUGAACAUCUUUGUGAGAAAUUAUCAUUUGAUCGUAAGCAGAAUGGCUUCGAAAGUGUAGUUUCUACGCAUACCAUGGCAAUUGAGAGAUAAUUCGACAACUUUGACACAGAUAUGAUAUUUUCCAUUUCCUGAAUGGAUCACGACAACAUCAAUGGCAAUACAGAUUCUUCGCAUCUAAUGGUGGUUGGGGCUGGCUGCGGUCGUGUUCCGCUCUCGCUAAAUUCGAUCCGGCGCUACGUCGAUUAAGCGGAUGACAAGUGGUUGUGUCGGCGAGACUCUCUCGCCUCGUCGGGCCGUUUCCGGAAUUAACGUCGUGAUUGUGAAAUAGGCACGACUUCGGGAAACGGCGCAAAGAAAAAAAAAUUCUUCCCGGAGAUGGAGAGCACGAGCAGCGUGAAAGCGAACUUUUCAAUAGAGAUGUAUAUCGUUCGAUAACGACACGAAUAAAAUCCUACGAUUCGAAUGUUGAGAAAUUCAAAAAUCGAAGCGGAAGGUGAAUCGA